Molecule: non-coding RNA, 608 nt
Organism: Heterocephalus glaber (naked mole-rat)
Lineage: Eukaryota; Metazoa; Chordata; Mammalia; Rodentia; Bathyergidae
Source: RefSeq, a predicted model, not a curated record
UGUUAGACUGCUUAGCAAUGCUGGAAUCUUGGAGACAUCAGCAUGCUUAUGUCACAAGCCACAUCUGUCACUGCAGGAUUUGUGUUUGUCCUCACGUUAAUAAUAACUGAUGGAGGCACCAAGUCGCCUUCCCUUAAAAGCAAGGAGUCUGAAUAUCAGUUUGGGAAGAGGUGCUUCAAAGAUCAAACCAGGCCCAUGACAGUGACAUUCCUGGAUCAAUAUGGUCAGGAGGGUCAUAUAUAUCCUUCCAGUGGCAAGCUAAUAGUCCAAAGCCAGUACAUGAUAUGAAAAAGUUCUCAAUGUUACAACAAAACCAUGAAAAGGAAGAAAUAAGUGGCUGAGAAUGAAGAGUAAAAAUAACUGAAUAAAUUUAGACAUAAGUUCCAAGUGGUUUUCAACGGCUCUGGAUGUGGAAACCACUGCAGGUCAACAUCCCGAAAGAAAGUCCACAAUUAUACUUAUCAGUUUUCCACCCCCUGCUAAAGUAACCACAACAUUAUCAUGAGGAAAUCAUGAAAAGAAAAAGCAUGCUGCAGCAUACUCAUUCAACUUUGAAUAUAAUCAAAGAAGAAAUACCAUCCUUCACAAGUGAACUGCAGAAUUAUUUC